AGGGUAUGGUCCCGACCCUUAAAUCAGCCCUAACUCAACUUACACAUGCAAGUUUCCGCAAUCCCGUGAAUACACCCAAAACCCCUAAUCAGGAAGCAAGGUGUAGGUAUCAGGUACAAGACUUUUAGCCCUAGACGCCCAGCCACGCCACACCCUCAAGGGAAUUCAGCAGUGAUAGACAUUAAGCCAUGGGUGAAAACCCGACUUAGUUAGAGUUAAGAGAGCCAGUAAAAUUCGUGCCAGCAACCGCGGUUAGACGAAUAGCUCAAGUUGAUUCAUACACGGCGUAAAGAGUGGUCAGGAGAAACAAAAAUAAAGUUAAAUGGUCCUUUGGCCGUUAUACGCUUCUAGGAGCCCGAAACCCAAAUACGAAAGUUACUCUAAAAAAAACAUCCGAUCCCACGAAAGCUGAGAAACAAACUGGGAUUAGAUACCCCACUAUGCUCAGCCAUAAACCAAGACACAAACGCACAACAAUGUCCGCCAGGGUAUUACGAACACCAGUUUAAAACCCAAAGGACCUGACGGUGCCUUAAACCCCCCUAGAGGAGCCUGUUCUAUAAUCGAUAAUCCCCGCUAAACCUCACCAUUUCUAGCUUAUUCAGCCUAUAUACCGCCGUCGUCAGCCCACCCACCGAGGGAAUAAAAGCAAGCAAAAAGAGUACAACUCAGAACGUCAGGUCAAGGUGCAGCAAACGAAAUGGGAAGAAAUGGGCUACAUUUUCUACAACAGAACAAUACGAAGACACAUUAUGAAACAAUGUUUAAAGGAGGAUUUAGUAGUAAAGAGGAAAUAGAGUGUCCUCUUGAACCCGGCUCAAAGGCACGUACAUACCGCCCGUCACUCUCCCCGCUAAGACUGCAUAAAAACCUACCUAACACAAAAGCGCACUCGAGGAGAGAAAAGUCGUAACAAGGUAAGUGUACCGGAAGGUGCACUUGGAUAACC
Molecule: non-coding RNA, 949 nt
Filed under: Pectenocypris balaena
Lineage: Eukaryota; Metazoa; Chordata; Actinopteri; Cypriniformes; Danionidae
Description: 12S ribosomal RNA
Rfam family: Bacterial small subunit ribosomal RNA
Source: RNAcentral